CCUACGGGGCGCAGCAGUGGGGGAUAUUGCACAAUGGGGGGAACCCUGAUGCAGCGACGCCGCGUGGGUGAAGGAGCGUUUCGGCGCGUAAAGCCCUAUCGGCAGGGAAGAAGGAGGACGGUACCUGACUAAGAAGCCCCGGCUAACUACGUGCCAGCAGCCGCGGUAAUACGUAGGGGGCAAGCGUUAUCCGGAUUUACUGGGUGUAAAGGGGGCGCAGACGGCAGCGCAAGCCAGGAGUGAAAGCCCGGGGCCCAACCCCGGGACUGCUCUUGGAACUGCGCGGCUGGAGUGCAGGAGGGGCAGGCGGAAUUCCUGGUGUAGCGGUGAAAUGCGUAGAUAUCAGGAGGAACACCGGCGGCGAAGGCGGCUUACUGGACUGUAACUGACGUUGAGGCUCGAAGGCGUGGGGAGCAAACAGGAUUAGAUACCCUGGUAGUC
RNAcentral lists this ribosomal RNA (441 nucleotides) under uncultured bacterium. RNAcentral describes it as "partial 16S ribosomal RNA". It matches the Rfam family "Bacterial small subunit ribosomal RNA", at positions 338 to 795 of the family's 1533-position model. The record is from RNAcentral.